ACUCCUACGGGAGGCAGCAGUGGGGAAUUUUGGACAAUGGGGGCAACCCUGAUCCAGCAAUGCCGCGUGUGUGAAGAAGGCCUUCGGGUUGUAAAGCACUUUUGUCCGGAAAGAAAUCGCACUUACUAAUAUUAGGUGUGGAUGACGGUACCGGAAGAAUAAGGACCGGCUAACUACGUGCCAGCAGCCGCGGUAAUACGUAGGGUCCAAGCGUUAAUCGGAAUUACUGGGCGUAAAGCGUGCGCAGGCGGUUGUGCAAGACCGAUGUGAAAUCCCCGGGCUUAACCUGGGAAUUGCAUUGGUGACUGCACGGCUAGAGUGUGUCAGAGGAGGGUAGAAUUCCACGUGUAGCAGUGAAAUGCGUAGAGAUGUGGAGGAAUACCGAUGGCGAAGGCAGCCCCCUGGGAUAACACUGACGCUCAUGCACGAAAGCGUGGGGAGCAAACAGGAUUAGAUACCCUGGUAGUCCACGCCCUAAACGAUGUCAACUAGCCGUUGGGACUCUUGAAGUCUUAGUGGCGCAGCUAACGCACUAAGUUGACCGCCUGGGGAGUACGGCCGCAAGGUUAAAACUUAAAGGAAUUGACGG
RNAcentral lists this ribosomal RNA (589 nucleotides) under uncultured bacterium. RNAcentral describes it as "bacterial SSU rRNA". It matches the Rfam family "Bacterial small subunit ribosomal RNA", at positions 335 to 916 of the family's 1533-position model. The record is from RNAcentral.